UCACUGGCGCGAGGGUGACAGCCGGCCACGGCCGGCCACACGCGAUCGGUCGCCAUUUUUCGUCCACGGUUUUUCGAUACACAAAUGGACGAAUUGGUUGUGCAACUUCAAGAGAUUUCCCCACGUGCUCAAGAACAUGUCGACGUGAAACAGUCAUCGGAAAAUUGGCAUGACAGAAAUGAACGCAACGAGUGCCACCAUGAGGAGAUGCUGAAAUUUGCUGUGGCCUUGGCACUGUUCAAAACGUACCUUUGGCCAACAUGGACUUCCUGUAAGGCUAAAAGUUGUCUAUGGGGUAAGACGAACAUGGAAACAAGAGGCAGCUGUAGUAAAAAAAAAUGAUUGGUGGGUAUGGGUACAUGUAGAACUGGAGCCAGACAGUGCAUGGGAAGGCUUCUAUUGUGGCAUCCUUUCAAGCUGAGCCAGCCACUUUCUCUGACAGAAGGUGGCAAAAUCUUUAAAUGGGCCUCUGCUGACUUUCUUUAAACAUUCUGCAUUGUUUAUAUAAUUUUACUUAUUUUGCAUCCUACACCAAUCAGAUGCUUCCUUUAUUAUGUUUGCAUGCAUUAUUUAUGCAAAUCAUAAUGUUAGAAAACAUGUUAGAAACAAGCAAAAAUUGGUUAGCCCCCUUCAAACUAAGAUUAGCUACAUGUAGUAGAAAACAACUGUGAAAUUCAUCCUUUCCUGUUUUUAACCCAACCAUGUACCAUCAAAUUCAGAUUCAAUCAGGUUUGUAUGGGCAGUAAAGGCAGAGCUAAAAAAAAUACCCAUUGUAAAGCUAUGGAAAUUUUCUAGAAUUGUAAACUAUGUUGUUAUGAGUCCAUUUGAAGAAAAUCUUUUGCAUUAAAAUUCUUUGAAUCUAAGUAAAAGUUUGCUCUAACUUUAAGUCACUCCUGUUGUUUUAGAGGGGUCUAAGUCUCCAGCCAGGUACAUGUAUGUUGCACUUUAUCUUUGUUUCCCUGUACUAAAAAGGAAAUGACCAGUUUGCUUAAACCUUGAACAAUAAGAAUUUUCUUUUUUCGAAAAAAAAAAUGGAUUUUCAGCAAGAAAGAUGUUUUCCUAUGUUUGGUAUUCUGCAUUAGCACACAACUUAUUUUCAAGUUCCACUUUAGCAUUUUACUUAGGCAUGGGACUUUUAUCUAGAUUAGCUGUUUCCUAAUUUUCUUUGUCACUUUUCUGCCAUUUGAAUUUGUGAAAAACUGCACAGAUUCUUGUUAAGAACCGUCUUUAUUUCUUUAUUCUUUUAUUCACAAGUUGAAUAACUAUGCACUUGUAAUUAUGUUAUUGCAUGGUAUCCCUAUUUUUGCAUGAGAAGUAUUGUGAAAAUACUCAAAAGCGGUAUUGCCAAACAUUAAGACUUGAGGUUUUGCUUGGUAGACAGAGAUGGUUGGUAUAUUUGUCAUUUGUGGAAGCACUAUUCAGAAAUCUCUGUUAUGACAAGAUACAUGCUAAGGUUUUUGUAAAGAACUGCUUAGGUGACCUCAAUGGCCAGAAUACAUUAGCUGAAACGUUGAACUUCACCUUAAGGUUCCUUUUAGUACACGUACAUGUACCUCUUUAAAACAGAUUUCCACUCGGUGCUCUCCACAUGUACCUACCUAUAUCACUUAUAAUUGGAUCUCAUGGCCUCGGGUGCUCACCUGUUCAGAUG
Molecule: long non-coding RNA, 1651 nt
Filed under: Acanthaster planci (crown-of-thorns starfish)
Lineage: Eukaryota; Metazoa; Echinodermata; Asteroidea; Valvatida; Acanthasteridae
Description: uncharacterized LOC110990639, transcript variant X1
Source: RNAcentral